Molecule: long non-coding RNA, 733 nt
Filed under: Pan paniscus (pygmy chimpanzee)
Lineage: Eukaryota; Metazoa; Chordata; Mammalia; Primates; Hominidae
Description: lncRNA (ENSPPAG00000045447.1)
Source: RNAcentral
CUCGAGCUCAACUUGGAUCAGCUAUGUUUCUGUCUCUCGUCAACUCAUAUCCCGAUUUGUCCUUCACAAGCCCGUGACAAUGCAGGAGCUGUGAGUGAAGUCACUUUCCACGCAUGGCUUUGGACUGGGUAGAGAUUUUCAAGCCUUGCUGACUUUCGGGAAGAAAAAGCCUAAGGCUGCCUCUAGGUCCGUCUCUCAUUAUCCUGAAGCCUGUUCCUCUGGUGAUUUGCAUUUUUCUCCAUUUGUAGAUUUAAAUGAAUCUGAGGAUAAUGCUGUCUGCUGUCCAACUCUUCCUGCCUAUUGACCAAAUCACAAAAGGGAGGCAUAACCACCUAGUCCUCGGUCCUGCAGGUCAAAGAAGCUACCUGGAAGAAACUGGUUCCAGACGUGAGAGUUUUAUUCCAAUAUGGCUUCCAGGAUCCCAGAGGACUCGACUUGUAGAGAGCAUCACUGGAGUCAAAAGGGCCGAGGUCCAGGGGCCAAGAACACACCUUGGUGCCAGAAGAAGUUCAUAAGUCUUGAAAUGCAGCAUCUCCUGAGCCCACACCUCUUUGAAGGUCCUGGCAUAUGGAAGGUCCUCCAAACUACUACUAACAUCUCCUGCCUCCGUGAAUGAUUUGCGUUCCUUUGGAGACAGCCUCCCAGGGGAAGUCCUGGAAACAGAACCCUCACUCCCCCUGUCUCCCCAAGAACAACACGAGUCAACAAAUCUGGAAUCCUUGCCUCUGUCCUC